UGAAACUGGGAAAACAAUUGCGAAGUCAAGCAAAGCACUUGUACAUAAUGGAAGUUGUCAGUGGACGGAUUCUAUUUCAGAAACUAUAUGUUUUUUUCAGGAUGACUCUUCAAAGGAGCUACAGGAUUGUUUCUUCAAGCUUGUUGUCUCCAUGGGUUCAGCUAGAUCUGGCAUCCUUGGAGAGGCUACAGUCAAUAUGACAGGCUAUAUGAGUUCACCUGCUCCUGUUCCAGUUUCACUAAGAUUGAAAAAGUGCAAUCAUGGGACAAUUUUACAAGUGGAAAUACACAGAAAGAUAGGAUUCGAAAUGAGGAAACUAUUUUAAAGAUCAGUGUGUAACAAAGGUUCAAGCCCUUGAAGAAGAAUUAAAGCUGAUGAAGGACGGGAAGCAGAACCAGAGGGAGUCCAGCACUAUGAAGGUUCCUAGUUUGUCUAAAACCCAUGCUAAAGUUACUCCUGUCCAUGAAGAUAUGAAGCCCUCAAAGAAGAAUGAAGUGGUGAAAAACACUAGUCAGCAACGUGAUAAUAAAAAUAAGCAAUCCUUGAAGAAUGCUCAAGUACAAGAACUUGCAAAAGAUCAUCAGAAGCUUUG
Quercus robur (English oak) is the source of this 592-nucleotide long non-coding RNA. RefSeq lists it as uncharacterized. The record is from RefSeq and is a predicted model, not a curated record. NCBI's taxonomy places the organism in Eukaryota, Viridiplantae, Streptophyta, Magnoliopsida, Fagales, Fagaceae. The transcript is spliced from 4 exons.